Molecule: microRNA precursor, 185 nt
Filed under: Oryza sativa Indica Group (long-grained rice)
Lineage: Eukaryota; Viridiplantae; Streptophyta; Magnoliopsida; Poales; Poaceae
Description: MIR812 microRNA precursor family
Rfam family: MIR812 microRNA precursor family
Source: Rfam by way of RNAcentral
AAAAAGACAAACCUUGGGUUUCCGUGUUCAACGUUUGACUGUCCAUCUUAUAUGAAAUUUUUUUAUAAUUAGUAUUUUCAUUGUUGUUAGAUGAUAAAACAUGAUUAAUACUUUAUGCGUGAUUUAUAUUUUUAAUUUUUUCAUAUUUUUUUAAAAUAAGACGGAUGGUCAAACAUUGGACACGG